This 255-nucleotide ribosomal RNA is filed under the name uncultured bacterium. RNAcentral's name for it is "partial 16S ribosomal RNA". It matches the Rfam family "Bacterial small subunit ribosomal RNA", at positions 524 to 776 of the family's 1533-position model. The record is from RNAcentral.
UACAGAGGGUGCAAGCGUUAAUCGGAAUUACUGGGCGUAAAGCGCGCGUAGGUGGUUUGUUAAGUUGAAUGUGAAAUCCCCGGGCUCAACCUGGGAACUGCAUGCAAAACUGGCAAGCUAGAGUAUGGUAGAGGGUGGUGGAAUUUCCUGUGUAGCGGUGAAAUGCGUAGAUAUAGGAAGGAACACCAGUGGCGAAGGCGACCGAGCCUGGACUGAUACUGACACUGAGGUGCGAAAGCGUGGGGAGCAAACAGG